AUUUACCUUUGUGUUCGAAGCAGAAUUUUACUUAAGAAAAUGGACCAUUUUAAUAGAAAUACGUUGAUCCAGUUCAACCGAAAAGAGAACCUGGUAAAACUUCGAAACGCUUUCCAACAAUUAGGCUGAUAAUCGAGCAAGAGGACUACUGCUAUAUUUAUAACUACGUGGAUUUCAUCCGGGAAGAUCCCAAUCCAUGGAGUGACGACAACACCGCAUAAUCUGAGUGUGAAAAUCCGAAAAAAAAAUAAAAGCCUUGCGAAACUCUACUCAUCGGUCCGGAGAAAAGUCAAAACACCAAAAUGUUGUGCCAAGUAUCAAAGAUUGCACGAAAUGUGGCGACAGAAAGCUCAGUAUUGGAAAUCUAAAUUCAAUCAGCUGAGCAAGUAGUUCGAAGUCCCACGGUGCCUCAGUAAAGUGUUCAAUGAAGACCAGAUUCAGGUGGUACGAUAGCCGAA
This is a long non-coding RNA of Toxorhynchites rutilus septentrionalis, 458 nucleotides long. RefSeq lists it as uncharacterized. The record is from RefSeq and is a predicted model, not a curated record. Lineage: Eukaryota; Metazoa; Arthropoda; Insecta; Diptera; Culicidae. The transcript is spliced from 3 exons.